UGUACUAAUUAAUGUGUGAAGAUAGCCUGAGCAGUGAGCACGUAAAAAAUAAAGAGACUAAUUAAGCACAUGUUCUGCAUAGUUUUUUUUCGUUAGUAUUAACUUAAUUAAUUAGUGAUGGAAACUGAAUAAUUGAAGGCUAACUCUAAUUCUUCGUCUGCAAGCUCAAUUACUGGAGCAAAACAGAAAAUUUAGAGGAAACACUUUUCAACCAGUACAUGAUGUACUACCGAAUUCGUCCCUGACGGAAAGGGAAAAUGAGCUGGCAGUGGGAUUCAAGAAGUACGAAAAGAGGAAAAAUGGGCUUCCAGUUCUACAACGGAAACAAAAAGGAAAAGAAAAUCUUAACUUGGAGGAAUUAUCCAGAAUGUCACUAGGUAUUCGUUCAGUAAGCUACUAUCGAGACUGGUCCAGUAGAGAAAUGUCAGCUGAAUUAGAGAAAGUCUUCAAAGGACUGGAUAUCUGUGGAGGCUACUGCUUGUGUGUGAAGAGUGGAAAGUUCCUGAAACAUGUUCAAAGUAAUGUUCCCGAUGGAAAAUCUAUCAAGGGUCUGUUCCCCAAGAUGGUGUAUAUUAUACCAAUGCAAAUGGAUAUCGUAGGAGUGUUGGAUUGUAAUUAUAAUAAAAACUCGUCAACGUCCUUUUA
Molecule: unclassified non-coding RNA, 645 nt
Filed under: Daphnia magna
Lineage: Eukaryota; Metazoa; Arthropoda; Branchiopoda; Diplostraca; Daphniidae
Description: uncharacterized LOC123473704, transcript variant X6
Source: RNAcentral